Molecule: long non-coding RNA, 263 nt
Organism: Meleagris gallopavo (turkey)
Lineage: Eukaryota; Metazoa; Chordata; Aves; Galliformes; Phasianidae
Source: RefSeq, a predicted model, not a curated record
GGGUAGCUGCAGGCAGGCAGUGCGGUUGCCCGGCAGCUUCGGGCCGCGCGGAGAGCUCGCGAGAAUAGCCGCAUACCGGCUGAGGACCGCUCCGUGCGCUCACCCUUUCUUUCGGCAGCCCACCUCGCCGGAGAAAGACGUAACCGUACUUCACAAGUGAACUCCCCUGGUGGGAUAGCAGUAACCGCAUCGUUGUACGUGAAUAAAUCGUCAUCGUCAUGAGUGUCAAUGCACCGCUUUGAAUAAAGCUCUAUGACAAAAUA